CAUAAAUGUAAGAAAAAUCUUACAGAUAGUACUUGCAGCUUAACGAUAUAAUUUUAUUAGUAGUUGAAGGA
This 71-nucleotide transfer RNA is filed under the name Pantala flavescens. RNAcentral describes it as "tRNA-Val". Lineage: Eukaryota; Metazoa; Arthropoda; Insecta; Odonata; Libellulidae. The record is from RNAcentral.